UGCCCAGCAACUCCAAUCCCUACCUCCUCGUGGUACCGGCCGGAAACUAUGAGCAACCUUAGGGAAGAUCGGGUAACCAACCCCGGUGGGAACUUUGGUCGUAGGCUGAUAGGGAAGG
Non-coding RNA from Aedes albopictus (Asian tiger mosquito), 118 nucleotides. Lineage: Eukaryota; Metazoa; Arthropoda; Insecta; Diptera; Culicidae. The record is from Rfam.